This 482-nucleotide ribosomal RNA is filed under the name uncultured bacterium. RNAcentral describes it as "partial 16S ribosomal RNA". It matches the Rfam family "Bacterial small subunit ribosomal RNA", at positions 30 to 507 of the family's 1533-position model. The record is from RNAcentral.
AUUGAACGCUGGCGGCAUGCCUUACACAUGCAAGUCGAACGGUAACAGGUCUUCGGAUGCUGACGAGUGGCGGACGGGUGCGUAAUACAUCGGAACGUGCCCAGACGUGGGGGUUAACGAGGCGAAAGCUUUGCUAAUACCGCAUACGAUCUAAGGCUGAAAGCAGGGGACCGCAAGGCCUUGUGCGUUUGGAGCGGCCGAUGGCAGAUUAGGUAGUUGGUGGGAUAAAAGCUUACCAAGCCGACGCUCUGUAGCUGGUCUGAGAGGACGACCAGCCACACUGGGACUGAGACACGGCCCAGACUCCUACGGGAGGCAGCAGUGGGGAAUUUUGGACAAUGGGCGAAAGCCUGAUCCAGCAAUGCCGCGUGCAGUAUGAAGGCCUUCGGGUUGUAAACUGCUUUUGUACGGAACGAAAAGGCUCUGGCUAAUACCUGGGGUACAUGACGGUACCGUAAGAAUAAGCACCGGCUAACUACGUG